GAUGAACGCUAGCGGCAGGCUUAACACAUGCAAGUCGAGGGGCAGUACGGUAGCAAUACUGGUGGCGACCGGCAAACGGGUGCGGAACACGUACGCAACGUACCCACUACAGGGGGAUAGCCCGGAGAAAUCCGGAUUAACACCCCAUAGUAUAUUAGGAAGGCAUCUUCUUAUUAUUAAAAAUUUAUUGGUAGAGGAUU
RNAcentral lists this ribosomal RNA (200 nucleotides) under uncultured bacterium. RNAcentral describes it as "partial 16S ribosomal RNA". It matches the Rfam family "Bacterial small subunit ribosomal RNA", at positions 28 to 227 of the family's 1533-position model. The record is from RNAcentral.